AGAGAGGGUAGCGGCAGCGACGGCCCACGAAAUCGUCUCCGCCGCACGGCAACGCGGGAGGAGGCGGCGGCGGCGGCCUCCGCGAGGCGGUCUCUCCGACGCGUCCAACGACUGAUCGCGCAAGGCGGCGACUGCGCGGCCGGGGCUGGUAGAGAUGGAUGCCUGGCGCUGCCUACGCGAUCGGUCAGCGCGGCGUCCGCCCUUCCGAGGCAGCCGUCGGUCGCGGGGGUGUAAGCUUCAGGGUCCCAGAAUCUCAGCCCGAAUUAGGUCAUCUUAUAUUCUUACUUAGUCCGGCUUGAUGCUGAAAUCCUGGAUUCAUCUCCUGGGACCUAGGCGCAGGCUGCAGGCCGCAGACGAAAAGGAGGACGGCUGAGCAUAUCAAUUUCAAGGAGCUAGGAUGGUAUAUAUAAGAUAAUUAAUGAGCACAAUGAAGUCUACGAUAUUGUGGUUGAGGAGUAGCAGUCUGAAGAUACAGUGAUACACAUCAACGAAAUUGGAAUUGCAAUUAAUCCAGGUCCCACUUGGCGCAGCUCAAUUUUCAGAAAAGCUAUCUGAAGGCAUGAUCAUGAGAGGGACUUUUUGACUGUGGAGCUAAUGACUUUCCCAUAGUAGUGUCAUCACCGUGCUCACAGCACCUGAGACAUGUGCUACUAUAGGUGCACAUACCAUCAGGAUCAUGGCUGCCCAGCAACCAAGCAUGUGGAGCAACAAAACUCCCAGGACCCGCCAUUGUUCCGAGUAAUCUACACAAACGGGCACACAUGCAGCAGUAGUGAUGUCUCCGGCUACAUGGCUUCAUCUGUACACAUCCAGCAGAUCGCCGAUGCCUCUUUGAGAAAGGCAGAGAUGAAAAUACCAAGCCUGACCCACUGCAGUUGAUCAAAGAAGAGAAAGAUGCCAUCGUCUCUUGUGGGUCGGUCGACCGAUCCACUUGUAUCCUGAUAGUCAACGUUAGCAUGCUAAGUUUGAUGUGGAGUAUUUGUAACACCCUGGCUUAUUAUUAUUUUUGUUUUUGGUUUGUAUAAUUUAAGUGUUUUGAUAUAGUAAUUUUAGUAUCAUCUUGACAGUUUAAAUAAGUUCGAGUCAACUUAUAAUCCUUUGUAUUCUAAAUAUAGUAUAUCCGGGUUUAAGACU
Long non-coding RNA from Phragmites australis (common reed), 1134 nucleotides. RefSeq lists it as uncharacterized. The transcript is spliced from 4 exons. Lineage: Eukaryota; Viridiplantae; Streptophyta; Magnoliopsida; Poales; Poaceae. The record is from RefSeq and is a predicted model, not a curated record.